UGAGGAAAAGCCUGGACUGAAGAAGAAA
This 28-nucleotide non-coding RNA is filed under the name Mus musculus (house mouse). The record is from RNAcentral. Lineage: Eukaryota; Metazoa; Chordata; Mammalia; Rodentia; Muridae.